AUCCACUUCUCAGUUGGUAGAACACAAGGCUCUUAACCUUGUGGUCAUAGGUUCAAGCCCUAUGAUGGAGG
This 71-nucleotide transfer RNA is filed under the name Triticum aestivum (bread wheat). It matches the Rfam family "tRNA". From Rfam's summary of the family: Transfer RNA (tRNA) molecules are approximately 80 nucleotides in length. Their secondary structure includes four short double-helical elements and three loops (D, anti-codon, and T loops). Lineage: Eukaryota; Viridiplantae; Streptophyta; Magnoliopsida; Poales; Poaceae. RNAcentral also lists the same sequence under 1 other name. The record is from Rfam by way of RNAcentral.